This is a non-coding RNA of Paramisgurnus dabryanus, 200 nucleotides long. NCBI's taxonomy places the organism in Eukaryota, Metazoa, Chordata, Actinopteri, Cypriniformes, Cobitidae. The record is from RefSeq and is a predicted model, not a curated record.
GACCUUCUUCAGUGAGCUGUCCACGAUCCCUGGGACUAACUCCUCACAAGCGUCCCACUUGUGCUUCACAGCCAAGUGGGACAAAGCUAGUUGAGGAGUUCCCUCCAGGAGGUCUGUUGGAGGCUCGAGUAGGUUCUGUGUCCCGCGGUUUGUCCCGGGGAGUCUAUUUUGGACAGCCCAAUGGGCGAAGGUCAGGCCCG